GUCCCCUUCGUCUAGUGGUUAGGACUCGGGAUUUUCGAUCCCGCAACAGGGGUUCGACUCCCCUAGGGGACGCAA
RNAcentral lists this transfer RNA (75 nucleotides) under bacterium SM23_31. RNAcentral describes it as "tRNA-Glu". It matches the Rfam family "tRNA". From Rfam's summary of the family: Transfer RNA (tRNA) molecules are approximately 80 nucleotides in length. Their secondary structure includes four short double-helical elements and three loops (D, anti-codon, and T loops). The record is from RNAcentral.